This 4774-nucleotide unclassified non-coding RNA is filed under the name Megachile rotundata (alfalfa leafcutting bee). RNAcentral's name for it is "importin-5, transcript variant X4". The record is from RNAcentral. Lineage: Eukaryota; Metazoa; Arthropoda; Insecta; Hymenoptera; Megachilidae.
UCAUUGUAAAAGCGCAUGAGUAUUGUAAAACAUAGACUACAAAGUGUAAACAAAAUUGAUAUGAGCAAAAAAAAAACAAGAAUUCGUCAUCUAAGGAGUGUGCGCUGUAGGUUCAUUCGUUCGGCGACAAUGGCGGCAGACCUUGAGCAGUUUCAACAACUUUUACACACUCUUAUUAGUACGGAUAAUGAUGCCAGAACACAAGCAGAGGAGGCAUACAACAAUCUUCCAGUGGAUAGCAAGGUGACGUUUCUGUUGGCCUUAUUAUGCAAUGCCACCCUUUCAGAAGAGAUGCGUGCUAUGGCUGCUGUCCUAUUGCGUCGACUCUUUUCCUCAGAGUUCAUGGACUUUUACCCUAAAAUUCCACCGGAAGCACAAGCACAGUUAAAAGAACAAAUUUUAUUAUCUGUUCAAAAUGAACAAACUAAAACUAUUCGACGUAAAGUAUGUGAGGUUGCAGCCGAAGUCGCACGAAAUUUAAUUGAUGAAGAUGGUAAUAAUCAGUGGCCAGAAUUUUUGCAGUUCCUAUUUCAAUGUGCAAAUAGUCCCUUACCAGCACUAAAAGAAAGUGCACUUCGAAUGUUUACAUCCGUCCCUGGUGUAUUUGGAAAUCAACAGGCUAAUUAUCUGGAUCUUAUCAAGCAAAUGCUACAACAAUCGGUUAUGGAUUCUUCAAAUUAUGAGGUCAGAUUUCAAGCAGUAAGAGCAAUUGGUGCUUUUAUUAUUUUACAUGAUAAAGAAGAAAAUAUACAAAAACAUUUCUCAGAAUUAUUGCCAGCUAUUGUACAAGUAAUUGCUCAAUCAGUAGAAAAACAGGAAGAUGAUGCUCUAUUAAAAGUUUUAAUCGAUUUGGCAGAAUCAACACCUAAGUUCUUAAGAUUACAAUUAGAAACUAUAAUGGAAAUGUGUAUGAAAAUAUUUUCUAAUGAAGAAGUGACUGAUCCAUGGAGACAAUUAGCAUUGGAAGUAUUAGUAACUUUAGCAGAAACUGCUCCCGCGAUGGUACGUAAAGUUGGCGGAAAAUAUAUCGCAUCUCUUGUACCAUUGGUAUUAAAAAUGAUGACAGACAUAGAAGAAGACGAGAAGUGGAGUUUUUCUGACGAAAUUGUUGAUGAUGAUAAUGAUAGUAACAAUGUUGUUGCCGAAAGUGCUUUAGACAGAUUAGCGUGUGGUUUAGGUGGUAAAACAAUGUUACCGCAGAUUGUACAGAAUAUUCCUUCAAUGCUAAAUAACAGCGAUUGGAAAUAUAGGCAUGCUGCUCUUAUGGCAAUAUCAGCUGUUGGUGAAGGUUGUCAUAAACAGAUGGAAACAAUGUUACCUCAAAUUAUGGAAGGAGUCAUACAGUAUUUGCAGGAUCCUCAUCCUCGUGUAAGAUAUGCGGCUUGUAAUGCAAUAGGACAAAUGUCGUCCGAUUUUGCACCUAUAUUUGAAAAAAAAUUUCAUGACAAAGUUAUUCCUGGUUUACUGAUGGUCUUGGAUGAUAAUGCAAAUCCAAGAGUUCAAGCUCAUGCGGGUGCAGCACUUGUAAAUUUCAGUGAAGAUUGUCCAAAAAAUAUCCUAACACCGUAUUUAGAUGCGAUUAUGGCUAAAUUGGAAUCAAUACUUACGGCUAAAUUUCAAGAGUUAGUUGAAAAAGGCACUAAACUUGUGUUGGAACAAGUAGUUACAACUAUUGCCUCAGUAGCCGAUACAUGCGAAGAACAGUUUGUAACAUAUUAUGAUAGACUUAUGCCAUGUCUAAAAUAUAUUAUACAGAAUGCGAAUCAGCAAGAACACAAAAUAUUGCGUGGUAAAACAAUUGAAUGUGUGAGUCUUAUAGGACUUGCAGUUGGACCUGAAAAGUUUAUUGCAGACGCCAGUGAAGUUAUGGAUAUGUUGUUAAAAACUCAUUCAGAAGGAAAUCUUCCAGAUGAUGAUCCACAAACAAGUUAUCUCAUAUCUGCUUGGGCUCGAAUUUGUAAAAUUCUUGGAAAACAAUUUGAACAAUAUUUACCGUUGGUAAUGGGUCCAGUUUUGCGUACAGCAGCUAUGAAACCAGAAGUUGCUUUAUUAGAUAAUGAAGAUAUGGAAGGUAUAGAUGAUUUUGAUUGGGAAUUUAUUUCUCUUGGAGAACAACAAAACUUUGGCAUCAAAACAGCUGGUUUAGAAGAUAAGGCUUCUGCCUGUGAAAUGUUAGUUUGCUAUGCACGAGAAUUAAAAGAAGGUUUUGCAGACUAUGCCGAAGAAGUAGUGCAGCUAAUGGUUCCUAUGUUAAAAUUUUAUUUUCAUGAUGGUGUUAGAACAGCGGCUGCUGCAAGUUUACCGUAUCUUCUUGACUGUGCAAAAAUUAAAGGUCCGCAAUACCUUGAAGGUAUGUGGGCGUAUAUCUGCCCCGAUCUGUUGAAAGCAAUUGAUACUGAACCCGAAUCUGAAGUUUUGCUAGAAUUAUUAUAUUCAUUGGCUAAGUGUAUUGAAACACUUGGUGCAGGUUGUUUAGGAUCACAACCUAUGGCAGAACUGUUACGUAUAUUAGAUAAGUUACUUAAUAAACAUUUCGAAAGAGCAGUAGCUAGGUUGGAAAAGCGUAAAGAUGAAGAUUACGAUGAAGUUGUUGAAGAACAACUUGCUGAUGAAGAUAACGAAGAUGUAUAUACAUUAAGUAAAAUAGGAGAUAUUUUACAUGCUUUGUUUAUUACUCACAAAUCUUCAUUUUUCCCUUACUUCGAUCAAAUUUGUGGACAUUUUGUUAAACUAUUAAGUCCUGAAAGGUCCUGGUCAGAUCACCAGUGGGCUUUAUGCGUUUUCGAUGAUGUAAUAGAGUUUGGCGGACCUGAAUGUGCAAAAUAUCAAGAAUAUUUUUUGCGACCAAUGAUACAAUAUGUAUCAGACAAGUCGGCUGAAGUAAGGCAGGCUGCAGCUUAUGGUUGCGGCGUUUUGGGGCAAUAUGGAGGAGAAGCAUUUGCUCAGGCAUGUGCCGAAGCGUUACCUAGGUUAAUGGAAGUUAUAAACGAUCCAGAAUCUAGAUCACCAGAAAAUGUUAAUCCCACUGAAAACGCUAUUUCUGCAGUAACAAAAAUUCUUAAAUAUAAUAAUAAGGCAAUCAACGUGGAUGAAAUACUUCCUCAUUGGCUUUCUUGGCUACCAGUGGUAGAAGAUGAAGAUGAAGCACCUCACGUUUAUGGAUAUCUGUGUGAUUUGAUCGAAGCAAAUCAUGUAACAGUUUUAGGACCAAAUAAUGCUAAUCUACCUCGAUUAAUAAGUUACUUUGCAGAAGCGCUUUUUAAAGAUGCAGUACCUAUAGAUAAUCCUGUCAUGGGUAGAAUUCUUAGUAUUGUUAGACAAAUACAGAACAACGAGUCUAUGUUCCAAGCAUGUAUAAAUGCAUUGACAGCAGAUCAACAGCAAGCGUUGCAUGAGGCACUUAGUGCAUAGCCUACUAAUUAGCCAUUUGCUUUUACCCCAGAACUUUAACACCUUAAUAUAAAACGAUAAAAAAACAUUUGCUUUAAUAAAAUUUAUGGAGAAAUCACAAAUUUUAGGUAGCUACAUUAUACCUAUGGAACAUACGCCAGCCUAAGUAUGAACAGACACACCUCGUUGCUCCGAGGACGUUGAAGAAGUUUUUGUCACUGCGAUCUCUUCGUCCCAAUUAUCUAUAUUUUGAAUCUACUUCUUUGGCAGAAUGAUAAAACUGCGAAAAAUAGACUGGAAAGACACCAACUCGUUGCUAUCACGUGAUAGCAAAACAUAUUGUGAUUUAGGUAUUUUUAUUAUUAAAUUUAGGUGCAGUAAAUGUUAUUUAAUAAUAAUGUCAAUAAUAUUACCGCGUUGAAGUUAGAACUGUAUACGAAUGCCUUUUACAUGAAACGUAAUGAACUGCUCUAUAAAAUUUUCAGAUUUGGAUAAAUUACAAUGUAUAGUAUAUUACAUUUUCUGCUAACUUUAAUUUAUCGAGAUGCGUUUUAUAAAACAAAAACGAAAAAAAUAUGUAUUUUCAGUUUUAUAUAAAUUGUAUUUAACCUUAUGAUUUUACAGCUAAUUUAUAUCAACUUAUUACGCUUAUUUAGCUGUAACUUUACACUUAUUUUGUUAUUAUGUCAUCUACAAAUAAAAAUAACAGUAAAAUUAAGGGAUAUGACUGAAAUGAUCGAAAACGGUGACAAUGCUGGGCAUUACGUUUCUUCCGAUUAUUGUGUAAUGACAACGUGAAUUAAGAACAAUGAUGUUAAAAAAUAAUGACUGAGUGGAGUAGUGUUACAACUUCCUGAUCUUGUUGCUAUUUAUUUGUAAUCAAUAAUUGCUGAUAUUUACUAAUGCAUGCAAAUUUGCAAUGCAAAAUAUAUCCCCUUAUAAAAAUUACGACUAUUUGCAACAGAAUCCUUAAAAAAAAUUUUUAUUACCAUAUAAAUAAAUAAAUAAAUAUAUAUAUAUAUAUAGAAAUGUGAUGAAAAUAAUAAUUGAAUAUUCAUUUGUAUAUGUAUAUAUAUAUCAAAGUAUAUAGAUAUUAAAAAUAAAUACAUUAAUGUAAUUAUCAUUGAUCUUUGGUAGGCACUGCCUCAUUAAUUAUUUCAUGAAGACCAACAUAAAAAGUACAUUCAGGUACUUACGAAAUGAAUACAAGUAAUGUGCGGCUGUAAACAUUUCAUUAGAAGCUACUGAAGGACUGUUUGUGCGAUAUAUUGUGACGAAAAAUGUUGAAACAAAAUCAGUGCGAAAAAGUAAAGUUAUAAUUCGUAUAAUUAUAUAGAGAUUAUUUUAAAGUAAUUAUUAUUUAAAAUAAAUCUCAGCUUUUUAA